Molecule: ribosomal RNA, 454 nt
Filed under: uncultured Prevotella sp.
Lineage: Bacteria; Pseudomonadati; Bacteroidota; Bacteroidia; Bacteroidales; Prevotellaceae
Description: partial 16S ribosomal RNA
Rfam family: Bacterial small subunit ribosomal RNA
Source: RNAcentral
ACGGGAGGCAGCAGUGAGGAAUAUUGGUCAAUGGACGGAAGUCUGAACCAGCCAAGUCGCGUGAGGGAUGAAGGCCCUACGGGUUGUAAACCUCUUUUGCCGGGGGAUAAACCUGACCACGCGUGGUCAGCUGAAGGUACCCGGUGAAUAAGCAUCGGCUAACUCCGUGCCAGCAGCCGCGGUAAUACGGAGGAUGCGAGCGUUAUCCGGAUUUAUUGGGUUUAAAGGGAGCGUAGGCCGUGCUUUAAGCGUGUUGUGAAAUGUAGGCGCCCAACGUCUGCACUGCAGCGCGAACUGGAGCACUUGAGUACGCAGGAAGUAGGCGGAAUUCGUCGUGUAGCGGUGAAAUGCUUAGAUAUGACGAAGAACUCCGAUUGGGAAGCCAGCUUACUGUAGCGCCACUGACGCUGAUGCUCGAAAGCGUGGGUAUCGAACAGGAUUAGAUACCCUGGUA